Molecule: long non-coding RNA, 745 nt
Filed under: Equus caballus (horse)
Lineage: Eukaryota; Metazoa; Chordata; Mammalia; Perissodactyla; Equidae
Description: lncRNA (ENSECAG00000046819.1)
Source: RNAcentral
GGGAGGGGCUGUGGGGGUGAAGGAGUCAAGAACCUUAGGCUAGGGUUUUGGGCGAGAUUUUGAUGGAAUUAGUCAAGGCUGGGCAGGAGGAGAGAGGCUGCUGAGGAAGCUGCAGGUUAGGACAGAUGAGAGCUGAGACGGAGAGCAAUGGGGAAAGAGGGUUUAAGUGUUGCUGUGGACUGUGGAUUAGAUCCCCUUUGAUGUUCUAGAAGAGAUGCUGGUCGCCUCCCUUCUGCAUGGUGUGUUCCUCCUCAUCCUUCAAGUCUUGGCUUAACUCUCAUCUUCUCAGAGGCUUUCUUUGCCUGCUCCAAUCUAAAGGAAGCUGCCCCAUUACUAUCUCUUACAGUACAGUAGGUUCAGUGAUGGCCCCCAAAAGGUACGUCCUAGAACCUGUAAAUAGGACUUUAUUUUGGACAAGGGUCUUUUCAGAUAUGAUUAAGUUAAGGAUCUUGAGAUGAGACUAUCCUGGAUUAUGUGAGUAGGCCCUAAAUCCAAUGACAAAUGUCCUUACAAGAGACAAAUAGAAGAGAAACACAAUGGGAGAAGAGGAGAAGGCCAUGGGAAGAUGGAGGCAGAGCUUGGAGGGAGGCAGCCGCAAGCCAGGGACACCCGGGGCCACCAGAAGCUGGAAGAGACGAGGGAUGGUUCUCCCCAGAGCCUCUGGAGGGAGCCUGGCUCUGCCCGCACCUUGGUUUUGGACUUCCAGCCUCCAGAACUGUGAGAGAAUAAAUUUCUACUGUUUUCA